AUUGAACGCUGGCGGCAGGCCUAACACAUGCAAGUCGAGCGGAUGAAGGGAGCUUGCUCCUGGAUUCAGCGGCGGACGGGGGAGUAAUGCCUAGGAAUCUGCCUGGUAGUGGGGGAUAACGUCCGGAAACGGGCGCUAAUACCGCAUACGACCUGCGGGAGAAAGUGGGGGAUCUUCGGACCUCACGCUAUCAGAUGAGCCUAGGUCGGGUUAGCUAGUUGGUGGGGUAAAGGCCUACCAAGGCGACGAUCCGCAACUCGUCUGAGAGGAUGAUCAGCCACACUGGAACUGAGACACGGUCAAGAGUACUACGGGAGGCAGCAGUGGGGAAUAUUGGACAAUGGGCGAAAGUCUGAUCCAGUCAUGCCGCGUGUGUGAAGAAGGUCUUCGGAUUGUAAAGAACUUUAAGUUGGGAGGAAGGGCAGUAAGUUAAUACCUUGCUGUUUUGACGUUACCAACAGAAUAAGCACCGGCUAACUUCGUG
Molecule: ribosomal RNA, 484 nt
Filed under: uncultured bacterium
Lineage: Bacteria
Description: partial 16S ribosomal RNA
Rfam family: Bacterial small subunit ribosomal RNA
Source: RNAcentral